Molecule: ribosomal RNA, 254 nt
Filed under: uncultured bacterium
Lineage: Bacteria
Description: partial 16S ribosomal RNA
Rfam family: Bacterial small subunit ribosomal RNA
Source: RNAcentral
UACGUAGGGUGCGAGCGUUAAUCGGAAUUACUGGGCGUAAAGGGUGCGCAGGCGGUCUCGUAAGCUGGGUGUGAAAGCCCCGGGCUUAACCUGGGAAUGGCAUUCAGGACUGCGAGGCUUUGAGUGUGGCAGAGGGGGGUAGAAUUCCACGUGUAGCAGUGAAAUGCGUAGAGAUGUGGAGGAAUACCGAUGGCGAAGGCAGCCCCCUGGGAUAACACUGACGCUCAUGCACGAAAGCGUGGGGAGCAAACAGG